GAGGGUAUAGCUCAGUGGUAGAGUGUGUGCUUAGCAUACAUGAGGUCCUGGGUUCAAUCUCCAGUACCUCCA
Molecule: transfer RNA, 72 nt
Filed under: Camelus bactrianus (Bactrian camel)
Lineage: Eukaryota; Metazoa; Chordata; Mammalia; Artiodactyla; Camelidae
Also listed under: 3 other names
Rfam family: tRNA
About the family: Transfer RNA (tRNA) molecules are approximately 80 nucleotides in length.
Source: Rfam by way of RNAcentral